RNAcentral lists this small nucleolar RNA (107 nucleotides) under Theobroma cacao (cacao). Its description in RNAcentral is "Plant small nucleolar RNA R71". It matches the Rfam family "Plant small nucleolar RNA R71". Rfam says of the family: R71 is a member of the C/D box family of snoRNAs containing the C (UGAUGA) and D (CUGA) box motifs. The record is from Rfam by way of RNAcentral. Lineage: Eukaryota; Viridiplantae; Streptophyta; Magnoliopsida; Malvales; Malvaceae.
AACUCUUGGUGAGGACAUUUCCUAAGAAAAUCCUUAUACCUUUCCCAAGCCUCAUACUGUAAUUUAGAAUUGAAUUAUGUAAAAGAAGUGAUAUCAUUCUACAUCUU